This 679-nucleotide long non-coding RNA is filed under the name Homo sapiens (human). RNAcentral describes it as "HSALNT0027021". The record is from RNAcentral. Lineage: Eukaryota; Metazoa; Chordata; Mammalia; Primates; Hominidae.
AUGGAACCAAACUAUUUAGCAGCCACAUUUCUUUUAAUGUUUCUCGUUUAUAGGUUACACAUUUGUUGUUAUUAUUAUUGAUUUAAUAAUACUGUGUCAAGAUAAAGUUGUCAAAAUCACGGCACCCAAACUUCACAUUAUAAAAUUUUAAUCACAACCUGUUUUAUCACAAUCGCUUUGCAGCAACGGAAAUUAUUCGUAGUAAUUAUUAAGUUGGUGCAAAAUUAUUUGUGGUUUUUGCCAUCACUUUUAAUGGCAAACGCCGCAAAUAAUUUUGCACCAACCUAAAUAUUAUAACUAAGGAAACGAAUAGAAUGGUGUGCAUCAGAGGUACCUCCGCCAGUGCUUACCCCGUUUGUUAUAGAGGGACGGGUUGUCCCUGCUGCUUUUUUAUGGAGCGCUAUAUCAAAAGGGCUGAGUAAAAUGAAGACAUUCCCCAGAGGACUGACUCACUAAGCAAUCAUAUGGGCAGUUUCUGGGAGGAAAGGAAGAAAAAAGCCAUACUUCACAACUCUUAGAAGCUGUUGCAAAGCAGACCACAUUCCUAAACUGAAGGAAGCAAGAAUUGCCUCAAUGGAACCACUGGGAGUGGAGGACACAGCGAAACACACAACGCCAGGAGUAAAUUGGAUUCUGGAGUAAAACCUGAGCAGUGAAGCUGCAGAGACAAGUGAGAGAG